RNAcentral lists this ribosomal RNA (452 nucleotides) under unidentified archaeon. RNAcentral's name for it is "bacterial SSU rRNA". It matches the Rfam family "Archaeal small subunit ribosomal RNA", at positions 602 to 1053 of the family's 1478-position model. The record is from RNAcentral.
GGAGAGGUGAGAGGUACCUUGGGGGUAGGGGUGAAAUCUUGUGAUCCUCGAGGGACCACCAGUGGCGAAGGCGUCUCACCAGAACGGGUCCGACGGUAAGGGACGAAAGCUAGGGGCACGAACCGGAUUAGAUACCCGGGUAGUCCUAGCCGUAAACGAUGCUCGCUAGGUGUCAGUCACGGUGCGACCGUGAUUGGUGCCGUAGGGAAGCCGUGAAGCGAGCCACCUGGGAAGUAUGGCCGCAAGGCUGAAACUUAAAGGAAUUGGCGGGGGAGCACUACAACGGGUGGAGCCUGCGGUUUAAUUGGAUUCAACGCCGGAAAUCUCACCGGGGGCGACAGCGAUAUGAAGGUCAGGCUGAAGACUUUACCGGAUUAGCUGAGAGGUGGUGCAUGGCCGUCGUCAGUUCGUACUGUGAAGCAUCCUGUUAAGUCAGGUAACGAGCGAGACCC